GUUUGCUACCAACUAGGUGGGUUUGGCUAUGGAGCUUGUCUAGUGCCCUCUGUUGGUAGCAACAGCAAUAUGCACUACCUGAAUAGCAAGACUGGUUCAUUUGCAUAUUCGGGUAGAUUUGCAUAUUGCUAAUUCUGCAGACACAUGAGAUAUUUUCUGUUAAAUAUUGUCUCCCCCACCCCUUUAAAAAUGUGCCAUUGUGUUGUGAUAAGUCACUGUGUGUUGCCU
Pelobates cultripes (western spadefoot toad) is the source of this 228-nucleotide non-coding RNA. Lineage: Eukaryota; Metazoa; Chordata; Amphibia; Anura; Pelobatidae. The record is from the annotation of a GenBank genome assembly.